Non-coding RNA from Labrus bergylta (ballan wrasse), 1098 nucleotides. The record is from RefSeq and is a predicted model, not a curated record. Lineage: Eukaryota; Metazoa; Chordata; Actinopteri; Labriformes; Labridae.
AACAUUUAAACACAAGUGUGAUGCUUUUUGAGGCUUGUGCUGCAAUUAAGUGCUUCACAAACCCAUGUGAUUUAGUAAAGUGCCAGGUUAGGAGGAAGUCGAGAGCGGGCCAAUUUUUAAGGAAACAACAGCCAGAUUGCAUUUGUGUGUUCACAGGGUCAAGAGUGACAGCUUAAAACCAUGACUGAUGAAGAAGUUUAUUUUCAGAAGUGUCGAGAUGUGAUAAAAGGAACAAAUGGGGAUAGAAGCACACACUCUUAUCUGCAUGAAUCAUGUGACUGUACAGGCCUUUGUUUGAGGCGUACUGUCGACUUGGUCAGACAGUCACACUUCCAUUUGACACUCGUGACACUAUCUCUCUCCUCAGUCUUCCCCUUUGUCACUCAUGCACUCACACACAAAUGUAGUGUCAAUAAUGGCAGGCUACAGUCUGUAUAAUGAUCCUAUCUUCCCAGAUUGUCGGGGUGCUGUCUGCUUUGUCUGUCACACAAAGAGAAGAGAGGCAGUGUGAGUACAAGUGGAUCACCCCCAAGUAAAUGAAGAACAUCAUCAUGGCGUCCUGCAACAGACUUCCUAUGUCAACAGAAGCUUUGAUUAACCAGGGACAGGCGGCAGUAGCCUUUGUAAGACUUGGACAAAAGCUGCAUUACAUGAAAUCAUGACAUAGAGAAUUGCUGAAGGGCAGGGUUCAUCCACAAUGUACCCACAAUGCACCAGUGAUGGAAGAGAGCAGCGCUGACACCGGAAUCGUGCACAAAAGAAGCCUGUGGCUCGAUCUCACAUUGUCAACUAGCGGAGGUCACACUCUAAUGUGUGAACAUGCCUCCCUCUGUCCGGCCCUGAAAGGCAGAUGAAGUUUUCUGCUUGGACAAGGCCACAAAGACACGUAUCCCGAUUGAAAAGCUUCGCCUGUGCGCCUUGACUCAUUCCCGUCUCCCUGGGGAGUCCUCUCUGACAGACUGCAGGGGAAAUUGACCUUGUUCAGGUGGGCUGGUGACGCAUCACCUGAAGCAGGCGUCUUAUUAGCCGAGCGCUAACAGGCAGCGUGUGUUCCCGUGGGGGCUGAAUGCUGCUGAGUCAUACUGUACAAACUGAACC